UACCAGCACCCCGAGUGGCCGGGACGAUUAUUGGGCCUAAAGCAUCCGUAGCCGGUCAUGCAAGUCCUCCGUUAAAUCCACCUGCUUAACAGAUGGGCUGCGGAGGAUACUACAAGGCUAGGAGGCGGAAGAGGCAAGCGGUACUCAGUGGGUAGGGGUAAAAUCCUCUGAUCCAUUGAAGACCACCAGUGGCGAAGGCGGCUUGCCAGAACGCACUCGACGGUGAGGGAUGAAAGCUGGGGGAGCAAACCGG
This 253-nucleotide ribosomal RNA is filed under the name uncultured bacterium. RNAcentral's name for it is "partial 16S ribosomal RNA". It matches the Rfam family "Archaeal small subunit ribosomal RNA", at positions 474 to 727 of the family's 1478-position model. The record is from RNAcentral.